AAUUUUAAGCCUCCCUCUAAAUCUGAAGUUUGACCUACAUAUACAUAGACACCCAAAUGACCUCUCGACAAGGCGACUGACGACUCCGAUCUGCUGAUUUGUAGCUCAUCUCUGGUCUGUCAAUGAUCCAUUCUCUGAUCUAUAGCUCAUCUCCGACUGUUGACGGCGGCUUCUUCGAUCUAACUACUUACAAACUCCAAAAGUAAGCUCCCUAGCCUCCAUUCUCUACGACGACGACCCAUCUACGACGAAGAUGACCUAGAUACUAUGACGACCCAGGUACUACCCACUACCUAGUGACCUCUUGUCCUCCCUGACCCGGCUACCUCUGACAAAUUGAAGAUAAGACCCAACUCUGAAGACGGGACUACUACCCAGCUGUGACGAAGCGGCGACCCAUCACUCGUCUCUUCUUCGAUCCAUCGCUCAUCUCUUCUCUGAUCCGUCGGAUAUCGCUCAUUUGAGAAAGGUAUUGCUAAUCUUUCUCUUCAGUGUUUCAAUUCUAGCAGUAUAUGAAUGUUGUUGUGACUAUCUUUCUCUUGCAUUACACUAAUAGGAAUUGCUUGGACUAGGAGGUGUGGAAAGAUACAAGUAGAAAUAUGAUUAGUUAAGCUGUUUUGAUAUCGUAAUGCAGUUGAGUUGAGACUUGAGAUUAUUUGACUAGUGAAUUUGAAUGCAUGAAUCUAGUCACCGGAUGAACAUUGAAUACUAGUUUACUUUGUUUCUCAGUUUGUUAUAAACCAAUUAGAAUGAAAGGGGGGGGGGGGAGCCAAUUCACUUCUCUAUUGUUUCCUACUAUUCAGUGAAGUGUCCUAAGCUUUUGUUUCUGUUUCAUUAGUAGUUCCUGAUUGAAUAAUGGUAUGAAUGAUGAUAGUACCUCAACAGCAAUAGAAUAUGCAAUAAUCGUAUGAUGAUCGUUCCUGAUUGAAUGGGGUAUGGAAGUGAUCUAGCCUUGUGUUUCUAAUGCAUCCCUUACUACAAUUUUUUAUGAAUCGUCAUCAUUUCUUUCUGAUUCCAUUUCAUUGUUGCUCUGUUUCAAGAGCUUGGAAAUCCCUGAAAUCAUGAGCUCAAUGGCUGUAGGUUGGUCACGUCAUUAUGGAGGAGUGGUCGAAGAUGAAAUGGCUCAACCCAAUUUUCAAUCUGUCCUUCAACUGUCAAGUCACUUAGGGGGGAAGUAAUUACCUUACAUUGUUCUUAUUCUCCAUGUUAAGCAGUAGCAGCAGUAGCAGUAGCAGAGGCUAACAGCUACUAAAGUUUGAAGAUGAUCUUAGUAGCAAUAGUAGCAGAGCAUAAUUAGCAUCUGUGCCUUUCCGUGCAGAUAUCAUGUGCUAAUAUAGUAGUCCAGGAAGCAAAGACAGGAGGGGGAGGUGAAGGUGUGGCAGUAAUAUCAGGAGCAUCGGAUCAAAUCCAUAUAGCCAAAUGCCUCAUUCAUGGCUUCAUCCUAACAGGUCGUGCUGCAGCUUGACUCAUACUAUGUUGUAAUCUUGGUUAAGGGUCACUCUGUCUCUGUAUUAUCUCGCAAGUAGCUUUAGCGAAAAGAUUCCUCUGCCUGAGGCUGUUGUUGUUUGUCAUUCUCUAUUGUUGUGUUCUGCCAUUUGAGACCUUCUCAGCUGACGAAUUAUGGAUAUUGUGGAUUAGUGAAUCGAGCUUGGUUUAUUUGUUAUGUGUAUUGUUGUUUUUUAAUUAAUCUUUGAUUUGGUCCAACC
RNAcentral lists this long non-coding RNA (1706 nucleotides) under Linum usitatissimum (flax). RNAcentral describes it as "long non-coding RNA (LUSI_LNC004247)". Lineage: Eukaryota; Viridiplantae; Streptophyta; Magnoliopsida; Malpighiales; Linaceae. The record is from RNAcentral.